GGACGGGGAGCUGGUCUGCCCGACGGGACCGGGAAGGCCGGGAAUGCUGGGAAGACUGGGAACGCUCGGCAUGCUGGGAGCCCGCACCAGACAUCUUUCUGUCUUAAUGAAGGCUUAACAAGAUAACGGAUUUCCUGCACAAAAUCUCUGCGAAAAUGAUUUCGUAAUGGAGGUCCAUCCAAGAAACCCCAACUCAUCUCCUGCAAAAUAUCCCACAAUGAAAAGCACCCACUGCAGCGCGACAUUACCUAACUGCCAAGCAGUUAAUGAGCUCGGGCUCCUCGCAGGGGGGGCGGCGGCUGGCGUGGAGGGAGAAGCUGGAGCUGCGGCGGCUG
Long non-coding RNA from Brienomyrus brachyistius, 335 nucleotides. RefSeq lists it as uncharacterized. The transcript has 4 exons. Lineage: Eukaryota; Metazoa; Chordata; Actinopteri; Osteoglossiformes; Mormyridae. The record is from RefSeq and is a predicted model, not a curated record.